This 524-nucleotide ribosomal RNA is filed under the name Onychiurus ambulans. RNAcentral's name for it is "eukaryotic LSU rRNA". It matches the Rfam family "Eukaryotic large subunit ribosomal RNA", at positions 664 to 1138 of the family's 3401-position model. Lineage: Eukaryota; Metazoa; Arthropoda; Collembola; Poduromorpha; Onychiuridae. The record is from RNAcentral.
GACCAAGGAGUCUAACAUGUACGCGAGUCAUUGGGAAAGUAAACCCAAAGGCAUAAUGAAAGUGAAGAUUCAUAUUGUGAAUUUGAGGAGAGAUCAUGGUUCUGCUUGGGAUUCCGCAAGGUUUUCUGAGUAGAAUAUGCGCAUCUCCUGGACAUCUGAACUCUUGAGAGUUGGGUGUACCUAGAGCGUACACGUUGGGACCCGAAAGAUGGUGAACUAUGCCUGGUCAGGACGAAGUCAGGGGAAACCCUGAUGGAGGUUCGUAGAGAUUCUGACGUGCAAAUCGAUCUUCGGAACUGGGUAUAGGGGCGAAAGACUAAUCGAACCAUCUAGUAGCUGGUUCCCUCCGAAGUUUCCCUCAGGAUAGCUGGCGCUUAUACCAGUCUCAUCCGGUAAAGCGAAUGAUUAGAGGCCUUGGGGCCGAAACGACCUCAACCUAUUCUCAAACUUUAAAUGGGUGAGAAGUCAUGCUUGCUUGAUCGAAGCUAUGACAAUGGAUGGUGAGUGCCAAGUGGGCCACUCUU